RNAcentral lists this ribosomal RNA (496 nucleotides) under uncultured bacterium. RNAcentral's name for it is "partial 16S ribosomal RNA". It matches the Rfam family "Bacterial small subunit ribosomal RNA", at positions 29 to 507 of the family's 1533-position model. The record is from RNAcentral.
AUGAACGCUGGCGGCGUGCCUAAUCCAUGCCAGUCGAGCGAACAGACGAGGAGCUUGCUCCUCUGACGUUAGCGGCGGACGGGUGAGUAACACGUGGAUAACCUACCUACAAGACUGGGAUAACUUCGGGAAACCGGAGCUAAUACCGGAUAAUAUAUUGAACCGCAUGGUUCAAUAGUGAAAGACGGUUUUGCUGUCACUUAUAGAUGGAUCCGCGCCGCAUUAGCUAGUUGGUAAGGUAACGGCUUACCAAGGCAACGAUGCGUAGCCGACCUGAGAGGGUGAUCGGCCACACUGGAACUGAGACACGGUCCAGACUCCUACGGGAGGCAGCAGUAGGGAAUCUUCCGCAAUGGGCGAAAGCCUGACGGAGCAACGCCGCGUGAGUGAUGAAGGUCUUCGGAUCGUAAAACUCUGUUAUUAGGGAAGAACAAAUGUGUAAGUAACUAUGCACGUCUUGACGGUACCUAAUCAGAAAGCCACGGCUAACUACGUG